GACGAACGCUGGCGGCGGGCUUAACACAUGCAAGUCGAGCGCCCCGCAAGGGGAGCGGCAGACGGGUGAGUAACGCGUGGGAAUCUACCCAUCCCCACGGAAUAGCUCCGGGAAACUGGAAUUAAUACCGUAUACGCCCUACGGGGGAAAGAUUUAUCGGGGAUGGAUGAGCCCGCGUUGGAUUAGCUAGUUGGUGGGGUAAAGGCCUACCAAGGCGACGAUCCAUAGCUGGUCUGAGAGGAUGAUCAGCCACAUUGGGACUGAGACACGGCCCAAGCUCCUACGGGAGGCAGCAGUGGGGAAUAUUGGACAAUGGGGGCAACCCUGAUCCAGCCAUGCCGCGUGAGUGAUGAAGGCCUUAGGGUUGUAAAGCUCUUUCACCGGGGAAGAUAAUGACGGUACCUGGAGAAGAAGCCCCGGCUAACUUCGUGCCAGCCGCCGCCGUAA
Molecule: ribosomal RNA, 447 nt
Filed under: uncultured bacterium
Lineage: Bacteria
Description: partial 16S ribosomal RNA
Rfam family: Bacterial small subunit ribosomal RNA
Source: RNAcentral